Molecule: ribosomal RNA, 330 nt
Filed under: uncultured bacterium
Lineage: Bacteria
Description: bacterial SSU rRNA
Rfam family: Bacterial small subunit ribosomal RNA
Source: RNAcentral
UCCGUAGGCGGUGUGGCAAGUCGGAGGUGAAAUCUCUGGGCUUAACUCAGAGGCUGCUUCCGAAACUGCCGUGCUAGAGUGCGAGAGAGGCAAGUGGAAUUGCGGGUGUAGCGGUGAAAUGCGUAGAUAUCCGCAGGAACAUCCGAGGCGAAAGCGGCUUGCUGGAUCGCAACUGACGCUGAGGGACGAAAGCUAGGGGAGCAAACAGGAUUAGAUACCCUGGUAGUCCUAGCCCUAAACCAUCAGGACUUGGGGUUUGCCCUGUACGGGGCAAGUCCCGUAGCUAACGCGUUAAGUCCUGCGCCUGGGGAGUACGGUCGCAAGGCUGAA